CGAACGCUGGCGGCAUGCUUCAUACAUGCAAGUUGAACGCCCCGCAAGGGGAGUAGCGGAAGGGUGAGUAACGCGUAGGAAUCUGCCUUGGAUUGGGGGAUAACCUGGGGAAACUUGGGCUAAUACCGCAUAUUGCCGAAAGGUGAAAGAUUUAUUGAUCCAAGAGGAGCCUGCGUAUGAUUAGCUAGUUGGUAGGGUAAUAGCCUACCAAGGCUACGAUCAUUAGCUGGUCUGAGAAGAUGACCAGCCACAAUGGAACUGAGAUACGGUCCAUACUUCUACGGAAGGCAGCAGUAGGGAAUUUUGCGCAAUGGGGGAAAGCCUGACGCAGCAAUGCCGCGUGUAGGAAGAAGCAUCUUGGUGUGUAAACUACUGUCGGUGGGGACAAACACAAUGAUUGUACCUGCAGAGGAAGCAUCGGCUAACUACGU
RNAcentral lists this ribosomal RNA (431 nucleotides) under uncultured bacterium. RNAcentral's name for it is "bacterial SSU rRNA". It matches the Rfam family "Bacterial small subunit ribosomal RNA", at positions 30 to 506 of the family's 1533-position model. The record is from RNAcentral.